This 467-nucleotide ribosomal RNA is filed under the name uncultured bacterium. RNAcentral describes it as "partial 16S ribosomal RNA". It matches the Rfam family "Bacterial small subunit ribosomal RNA", at positions 28 to 507 of the family's 1533-position model. The record is from RNAcentral.
GACGAACGCUGGCGGCGUGCUUAACACAUGCAAGUCGAACGGAAAGGCCCUGCUUUUGUGGGGUGCUCGAGUGGCGAACGGGUGAGUAACACGUGAGUAACCUGCCCUUGACUUUGGGAUAACUUCAGGAAACUGGGGCUAAUACCGGAUAGGAGCUCCUGCUGCAUGGUGGGGGUUGGAAAGUUUCGGCGGUUGGGGAUGGACUCGCGGCUUAUCAGCUUGUUGGUGGGGUAGUGGCUUACCAAGGCUUUGACGGGUAGCCGGCCUGAGAGGGUGACCGGCCACAUUGGGACUGAGAUACGGCCAGACUCCUACGGGAGGCAGCAGUGGGGAAUAUUGCACAAUGGGCGGAAGCCUGAUGCAGCAACGCCGCGUGCGGGAUGACGGCCUUCGGGUUGUAAACCGCUUUCGCCUGUGACGAAGAGUGAGUGACGGUAAUGGGUAAAGAAGCACCGGCUAACUACGUG